AUAGCCGCGCGCAGCCUCUCCCGGGCAAGGGGAGCCUUCAUCCCCUGCCCGGGAGAGGCUGCGUGUGGCUAAGU
Non-coding RNA from Podarcis lilfordi (Lilford's wall lizard), 74 nucleotides. NCBI's taxonomy places the organism in Eukaryota, Metazoa, Chordata, Lepidosauria, Squamata, Lacertidae. The record is from the annotation of a GenBank genome assembly.